Molecule: small RNA, 95 nt
Filed under: Streptococcus oralis Uo5
Lineage: Bacteria; Bacillati; Bacillota; Bacilli; Lactobacillales; Streptococcaceae
Description: csRNA1
Rfam family: Cia-dependent small RNA csRNA1
Source: RNAcentral
AUUAAAUAAAGACCUCCUAACUUUAUUUAAUAGAAAUCCUAAACUUUUUCAUAAUAAUCUCCUAGGGAAGCUACCAUGAGGGUAGCUUUUCUUUU